GACGAACGCUGGCGGCGUGCUUAACACAUGCAAGUCGAGCGGUAAGGCCCUUUCGGAGGUACACGAGCGGCGAACGGGUGAGUAACACGUGGGUGACCUGCCCUUAGCUCUGGGAUAAGCCUGGGAAACUGGGUCUAAUACCGGAUAUGACUCCAUGACGCAUGUUGUGGGGUGGAAAGCCUUGUGCGGCUAGGGAUGGGCCUGCGGCCUAUCAGCUUGUUGGUGGGGUGANGGCCUACCAAGGCGACGACGGGUAGCCGGCCUGAGAGGGCGACCGGCCACACUGGGACUGAGACACGGCCCAGACUCCUACGGGAGGCAGCAGUGGGGAAUCUUGCGCAAUGGGCGAAAGCCUGACGCAGCGACGCCGCGUGGGGAUGACGGCCU
Molecule: ribosomal RNA, 387 nt
Filed under: uncultured bacterium
Lineage: Bacteria
Description: bacterial SSU rRNA
Rfam family: Bacterial small subunit ribosomal RNA
Source: RNAcentral